This 492-nucleotide ribosomal RNA is filed under the name uncultured bacterium. RNAcentral's name for it is "partial 16S ribosomal RNA". It matches the Rfam family "Bacterial small subunit ribosomal RNA", at positions 29 to 507 of the family's 1533-position model. The record is from RNAcentral.
AGUGAACGCUGGCGGUAGGCCUAACACAUGCAAGUCGAACGGCAGCACAGUAAGAGCUUGCUCUUACGGGUGGCGAGUGGCGGACGGGUGAGGAAUACAUCGGAAUUUACUUUUUCGUGGGGGAUAACGUAGGGAAACUUACGCUAAUACCGCAUACGACCUACGGGUGAAAGCAGGGGAUCUUCGGACCUUGCGCGAUUGAAUGAGCCGAUGUCGGAUUAGCUAGUUGGCGGGGUAAAGGCCCACCAAGGCGACGCUCCGUAGCUGGUCUGAGAGGAUGAUCAGCCACACUGGAACUGAGACACGUUCCAGACUCCGACGGUAGGCAGCAGUGGGGAAUAUUGGACGAUGGGCGCAAGCCUGAUCCAGCCAUACCGCGUGGGUGAAGAAGGCCUUCGGGUUGUAAAGCCCUUUUGUUGGGAAAGAAAAGCAGCAGGUUAAUACCCCGCUGUUCUGACGGUACCCAAAGAAUAAGCACCGGCUAACUUCGUG